This 308-nucleotide ribosomal RNA is filed under the name uncultured soil bacterium. Its description in RNAcentral is "bacterial SSU rRNA". It matches the Rfam family "Bacterial small subunit ribosomal RNA", at positions 26 to 337 of the family's 1533-position model. The record is from RNAcentral.
AGAACGAACGCUGGCGGCGUGUUUAAGACAUGCAAGUCGCACGGGACUUUUCCAAGUAGCAAUACAAGGGAAAGUCUAGUGGCGCACGGGUGAGUAACACGUGAAUUACAUGCCCUUCAGUGGGGAAUAGCCCAGGGAAACUUGGGUUAAUACCCCAUGGUAUCGCGAGAUUAAAGGUGGCCGCAAGGCUGCCCGCUGAAGGAUUGGUUCGCGCCCUAUCAGCUUGUGGCGGGUACGCCACAAGGCUACGACGGUACCUGGUCUGAGAGGACGAUCAGGCACACUGGAACUGAGACACGGUCCAGACA